ACGCUCGACACCUACUGGAGGCAGCAGUGGGGAAUAUUGCACAAUGGGGGAAACCCUGAUGCAGCGACGCCGCGUGAGCGAAGAAGUAUUUCGGUAUGUAAAGCUCUAUCAGCAGGGAAGAAACUGACGGUACCUGACUAAGAAGCACCGGCUAAAUACGUGCCGCAGCCGCGGUAAUCUGAGCGGGCUGGCAAGGC
Molecule: ribosomal RNA, 197 nt
Filed under: uncultured bacterium
Lineage: Bacteria
Description: partial 16S ribosomal RNA
Rfam family: Bacterial small subunit ribosomal RNA
Source: RNAcentral